ACCCUUUGUACUAAAACCCCGUUAGCAAUUCAUAGAUGACAAAGGAUCUGAGCCUUAGAUAUAUGAAAACUCAUCACUGUGGCAUCUAUAGAGGCAGUGUGGCAAAACAGAACUCAGAAUCCUAGGUUACACAUCACACAUUAACAAAGUAUCAAUAGAACUUGACUCCAGUUCUACUGUUGACCUCAAGCCCAAAAAAGCUAGAGAGCAAACACAGCCUACAGCUUUCAAGGAGAAACACUUGUGGCCUCUUUCUUAAUCAACUUCACGGUGACUUAAAAAUAUUUAUGUUAUGUCAAUUGAUACAAUGAUUGGGAUAUAUUCUAUUUUCUUAAAUAUUCAAGAAAAUGGAAGAUUUCUCCUUAAAAGACAAGGAGAGAGAAAUAUGCCAAAAAUGAGAAUAGGGAGUAGAGGCUAAAACCAAAAUUAGUAUUCAGAAAUUCCAAAUGAUGCUGAAAUUCCCAGAGGGAAGUAUUUAUUUAUAUAAGUAUAUUCGGUUAAUUAUUUAUAGAAAUAAAACUCAGGAAAAUUCCACUCUCACUGUUUUUAUCUGCGUACACUGUCCCUAGAGGGCUUGUAUGUGGGUUUCCAUUCUCAGAAUCAGAAAGUCCCUGUUUGUUCUUGUCCUUGUUAUCAUUUUAUUUUAAAAUAAAAUUUGUGAGAGUAGUGAUCACACUAAUUUUUCUCUGUGUUUAGAAGGCCCGCUAUUUUAAAGACUGAUUAUUCAUAUUUUUAAAAAUCACAUUUUUUUCAUAUAUAUAUGAAAGACAUAAAUUUGGAAUGCUUUAAUAAAGUUCAAAAGUCAGGAUAUGUGCUCAUUAGCCUGACAUCAUCAGCUGAAAUGACGCCAUUCGCAUCCAAGACUUAAUGCACUUGCUGUCGAUGUUUGAUGUAUGCCAGGCACAACCUUAUUCUCCACAAAAAGCCAAAGAAAGACCCAAGUAAUAUCAAACUCAGAGAAUGGGAGGCAAGAAAAGGAGAGCGUGAAGUACACAGAUGAUAACAAAUCAUCCAGAAUUAUCAAGAGUCAAGAUGAAGGCCAAAACCAGCAAGGUAAAAUUUAAUAAAUGUAAUAUUCUGCAUUACUCUUCAAGUAAAUUAGUUAAAUAAUUCACUUAGAAAAAGAAAUAAGCAUUUCAGUUAUCUAAAACUCAGUAUAAGCCAAUAUAUGCAACUGGUUACCAAAAACAUUCAUAAACUCCUAAUCUAUACUAAAAGAGGAAAGAAUGAACUUAGACCUGUGCACUCAAUAUUGGUCAGAUCAUAUGUAGUGUAUUUUGUUAAUAUAUGUAUUUUUUUAUUUUUG
RNAcentral lists this long non-coding RNA (1306 nucleotides) under Pan troglodytes (chimpanzee). RNAcentral describes it as "lncRNA (ENSPTRG00000053583.1)". The record is from RNAcentral. Lineage: Eukaryota; Metazoa; Chordata; Mammalia; Primates; Hominidae.